Molecule: transfer RNA, 77 nt
Filed under: Klebsiella pneumoniae
Lineage: Bacteria; Pseudomonadati; Pseudomonadota; Gammaproteobacteria; Enterobacterales; Enterobacteriaceae
Also listed under: 60 other names
Description: tRNA-Ile
Rfam family: tRNA
About the family: Transfer RNA (tRNA) molecules are approximately 80 nucleotides in length. Their secondary structure includes four short double-helical elements and three loops (D, anti-codon, and T loops).
Source: RNAcentral
GGGCCUAUAGCUCAGCUGGUUAGAGCGCACGCCUGAUAAGCGUGAGGUCGGUGGUUCAAGUCCACUUAGGCCCACCA